UGUGUUUGUUCCUGUGGAAACAAAUGUCAUGCACAGACUCGUUUAAAGUACUACCUGUCUUCUUAUUUUUUUGUUGUUGGUGCCUCUUUUUCGAGCAAGCGGAUGAGGUUGGUUGCGCUCCGUAGUUUCACCUGCGGCCCGCCCUCAGCAGUGACGUCACUGAGUCAAAUCUCCAGUCAGAACAACAUUAAUGUUGUUGCAUUGCUCUGUUACUACACUUGUCAUGUUAUUCCAGAUUUGACCAUUCCUUUCCUUUAGUGACUCAUUUCAAUUUUCACAACCUAAUCUUCCCCGCCCAAUUAAUCAACUGCUUAAGUACGUUGCCCCUAAUCAGCCCAGUAUAGGUACAUUUCCAUAAAACAUCCUCUAGAAUCUAGAUUAUUUUGUUCUAUAUACGCUGUGGCAUUCCAUUCUUGAUUUAUUGAUUUAGCCUGUCUGAACCUGCCUGCCUAAAUUCCUGCCACCGUCUCAGAUUGCUGCUUCUUUCUUUCAUAUGUGGUGCCUUUGGUUUAAGAUUACGAGGUCUCUGCAGUAUCUGAGGUUGACCAUAAGAGGGCAGCAUUGCAUCAGUGUACAACAAGCCCAGAAGAGUAAUAUCAGUUUUUGAUGUGGAAGCAUCUUAGAUACAAAGGAGUUCAAGACAAGACCUACAAUGGGUAGACACAAUAACAUGAACACUUGUCAGUAAAAUAGUAAAUAAUUUAAUGGCAAAUCAAAAAUACAAUAUUUGCAAUUCUCAUAAUGUUAAGGCUGAUUUUAUUGAAUCAUUUCAAAUUUAAAUGAGAUACAAAAUCUUCUAAAUUGUCAUCUUUUAUGUAUAUAUAUGUAUAUCUAACAGUGGUGGCACACAUGUCUGCGUGUACAAUAACAUGUCCGUUUUUUACCAUAAUAAAAGUAAUUAUAUUUGUAAUUAUAAUUAUUAUAAUAUAUGUAAUUAUAUUGUAUAUUAGCAAUUAACAUUCCUUUUUUAAUAUUUAUGUAUGUAUACAUGUGCAACACGAUGAUAUGUACAAAGACAUCGAUAGUUAUUCAUGGUUCUGUAUAUGUAUUACUCAAUUGCUUUAUUCUUUUUUUGAGCAUCUACUUUUAUAAAUUAAGGAUUAUAAAAUGUUCCUCAAGCACGAACAACCAGCCAGCACG
Long non-coding RNA from Gasterosteus aculeatus aculeatus (three-spined stickleback), 1140 nucleotides. NCBI's taxonomy places the organism in Eukaryota, Metazoa, Chordata, Actinopteri, Perciformes, Gasterosteidae. The record is from Ensembl.